Molecule: non-coding RNA, 107 nt
Organism: Acanthosepion pharaonis
Lineage: Eukaryota; Metazoa; Mollusca; Cephalopoda; Sepiida; Sepiidae
Source: the annotation of a GenBank genome assembly
GCAGCAAUAUGAAGUUGAAACACCGGUUCUCAUACGAUCACCGAAGUUAAGCAAUGUCGAGCCUGGUCAGUACCAAGAUUCCGCUGAGGAAUACCAGGGACUGUAAU